Molecule: ribosomal RNA, 605 nt
Filed under: bacterium 49-L049393-122-001-A07
Lineage: Bacteria
Description: bacterial SSU rRNA
Rfam family: Bacterial small subunit ribosomal RNA
Source: RNAcentral
GCAGUCGAGCGGACAGAUGGGAGCUUGCUCCCUGAUGUUAGCGGCGGACGGGUGAGUAACACGUGGGUAACCUGCCUGUAAGACUGGGAUAACUCCGGGAAACCGGGGCUAAUACCGGAUGCUUGUUUGAACCGCAUGGUUCAAACAUAAAAGGUGGCUUCGGCUACCACUUACAGAUGGACCCGCGGCGCAUUAGCUAGUUGGUGAGGUAACGGCUCACCAAGGCAACGAUGCGUAGCCGACCUGAGAGGGUGAUCGGCCACACUGGGACUGAGACACGGCCCAGACUCCUACGGGAGGCAGCAGUAGGGAAUCUUCCGCAAUGGACGAAAGUCUGACGGAGCAACGCCGCGUGAGUGAUGAAGGUUUUCGGAUCGUAAAGCUCUGUUGUUAGGGAAGAACAAGUACCGUUCGAAUAGGGCGGUACCUUGACGGUACCUAACCAGAAAGCCACGGCUAACUACGUGCCAGCAGCCGCGGUAAUACGUAGGUGGCAAGCGUUGUCCGGAAUUAUUGGGCGUAAAGGGCUCGCAGGCGGUUCCUUAAGUCUGAUGUGAAAGCCCCCGGCUCACCGGGGGGAGGGUCAUUGGAAACUGGGGAACUUG